This 407-nucleotide ribosomal RNA is filed under the name uncultured bacterium. RNAcentral's name for it is "bacterial SSU rRNA". It matches the Rfam family "Bacterial small subunit ribosomal RNA", at positions 355 to 776 of the family's 1533-position model. The record is from RNAcentral.
UGGGGAAUAUUGGGCAAUGGGCGAAAGCCUGACCCAGCGACGCCGCGUGAAGGAUGAAGGUCUUCGGAUUGUAAACUUCUUUGAUCAGGGAAGAAAGAAAUGACGGUACCUGAAGAACAAGCCACGGCUAACUACGUGCCAGCAGCCGCGGUAAUACGUAGGUGGCAAGCGUUGUCCGGAUUUACUGGGUGUAAAGGGCGUGUAGGCGGGUAUGCAAGUCAGAUGUGAAAUCCCGUGGCUCAACUGCGGAACUGCAUCUGAAACUGCGUAUCUUGAGUGUCGGAGGGGAAAGUGGAAUUCCUGGUGUAGCGGUGAAAUGCGUAGAUAUCAGGAGGAACACCGGUGGCGAAGGCGACUUUCCGGACGACAACUGACGCUGAGACGCGAAAGCGUGGGGAGCAAACAGG